AUUGAACGCUAGCGGGAUGCCUUACACAUGCAAGUCGAACGGCAGCGCGGACUUCGGUCUGGCGGCGAGUGGCGAACGGGUGAGUAAUGUAUCGGAACGUGCCCAGUAGCGGGGGACAACCACUCGAAAGAGUGGCUAAUACCGCAUACGCCCUACGGGGAAAGGGGGGAUCGCAAGACCUCUCACUAUUGGAGCGGCCGAUAUCGGAUUAGCUAGUUGGUGGGGUAAAGGCCUACCAAGGCGACGAUCCGUAGCUGGUUUGAGAGGACGACCAGCCACACUGGGACUGAGACACGGCCCAGACUCCUACGGGAGGCAGCAGUGGGGAAUUUGGACAAUGGGGAAACCCUGAUCCAGCCAUUCCGCGUGUGCGAUGAAGGCCUUCGGGUGUAAGCACUUUGGUCGAGGAAAGAAAUACGUGU
Molecule: ribosomal RNA, 422 nt
Filed under: uncultured bacterium
Lineage: Bacteria
Description: bacterial SSU rRNA
Rfam family: Bacterial small subunit ribosomal RNA
Source: RNAcentral